RNAcentral lists this ribosomal RNA (492 nucleotides) under uncultured bacterium. RNAcentral's name for it is "partial 16S ribosomal RNA". It matches the Rfam family "Bacterial small subunit ribosomal RNA", at positions 29 to 507 of the family's 1533-position model. The record is from RNAcentral.
AGUGAACGCUGGCGGUAGGCCUAACACAUGCAAGUCGAACGGCAGCACAGUAAGAGCUUGCUCUUACGGGUGGCGAGUGGCGGACGGGUGAGGAAUACAUCGGAAUCUACUUUUUCGUGGGGGAUAGCGUAGGGAAACCUACGCUAAUACCGCAUACGACCUACGGGUGAAAGCAGGGGAUCUUCGGACCUUGCGCGAUUGAAUGAGCCGAUGUCGGAUUAGCUAGUUGGCGGGGUAAAGGCCCACCAAGGCGACGAUCCGUAGCUGGUCUGAGAGGAUGAUCAGCCACACUGGAACUGAGACACGGUCCAGACUCCUACGGGUGGCAGCAGUGGGGAAUAUUGGACAAUGGGCGCAAGCCUGAUCCAGCCAUACCGCGUGGGUGAAGAAGGCCUUCGGGUUGUAAAGCCCUUUUGUUGGGAAAGAAAAGCAGCAGGUUAAUACCCCGCUGUUCUGACGGUACCCAAAGAAUAAGCACCGGCUAACUUCGUG